CAAACCAAAACAAGAAAUACUAACCAACCUAAACGUUGGUAAGAAAAAAAAAUCAGAAUGAGACCUUCCUCCAGGAUGGGGCCUUCAGCCCAUAUCACUUAUGCCCUAGGCGUUAUCAUCAUGGCAACAAUGGUUGCUGCGUAUGAACCAUACAGCUUGCCACCACUCCCGUCAUAUUCACCAUCUCCAAAGGUAGAAUACAACACUCCCCCCCUACCAUAUAUCCACAGUUCUUCACCACCACCAUACUACUCUCCAUCACCAAAGGUUGACUACAAAUCACCUCCUCCACCAUAUGUCUACAGUUCCCCACCACCUCCUUACUAUUCCCCAUCACCUAAAGUUGACUACAAAUCUUCUCCACCACCAUAUGUCUACAGUUCUCCACCACCACCACCAUAUUACUCACCAUCUCCUAAAGUCGAGUACAAGUCUCCCCCACCACCAUAUGUAUACAGUUCUCCCCCACCACCUCCGUACUACUCUCCAUCACCAAAGGUAGAUUACAAAUCUCCUCCACCACCGUAUGUCUACAGUUCUCCACCACCACCACCAUAUUAUUCACCAUCUCCUAAGGUUGAGUACAAGUCUCCACCACCACCGUAUGUCUACAGCUCUCCACCACCACCUCCGUACUACUCUCCAUCACCAAAGGUAGACUAAUUCACCAUCUCCAAAGAUAGAAUACAACACUCCUCCCCUACCAUAUAUCCAUAGUUCCUCACCACCACCACCACUAUACUAUUCUCCAUCACCAAAGGUUGACUACAAAUCACCUCCUCCACCGUAUGUCUACAGUUCUCCACCACCACCACCAUACUAUUCACCAUCUCCUAAGGUAGAAUACAAGUCUCCUCCACCACCAUAUGUUUACAG
Molecule: long non-coding RNA, 876 nt
Filed under: Brassica napus (rape)
Lineage: Eukaryota; Viridiplantae; Streptophyta; Magnoliopsida; Brassicales; Brassicaceae
Description: long non-coding RNA (BNAP_LNC023769)
Source: RNAcentral